GACGAACGCUGGCGGCGUGCUUAACACAUGCAAGUCGAACGAUGAUGCCAGCUUGCUGGUGGAUUAGUGGCGAACGGGUGAGUAACACGUGAGCAACCUGCCCCUGACUUCGGGAUAACCGCGGGAAACCGUGGCUAAUACCGGAUAUGACGCGCUAUCGCAUGGUGGUGUGUGGAAAGAUUUAUCGGUUGGGGAUGGGCUCGCGGCCUAUCAGCUUGUUGGUGGGGUGAUGGCCUACCAAGGCGUCGACGGGUAGCCGGCCUGAGAGGGUGACCGGCCACACUGGGACUGCGACACGGCCCAGACUCCUACGGGAGGCAGCAGUGGGGAAUAGUGCACAAUGGGCGCAAGCCUGAUGCAGCGACGCCGCGUGGGGGAUGACGGCCUUCGGGUUGUAAACCUCUUUCAGUAGGGAAGAAGGCCUUCGGGUUGACGGUACCUGCAGAAGAAGCGCCGGCUAACUACGUG
Molecule: ribosomal RNA, 468 nt
Filed under: uncultured bacterium
Lineage: Bacteria
Description: partial 16S ribosomal RNA
Rfam family: Bacterial small subunit ribosomal RNA
Source: RNAcentral